UAAAAAUAAGAAGACAGUCAAGAAGAAAACUGCAAAGGAUGAGGGGACGCCCCAUAGGCUCUGUGAUGCAAGUGCCAAGCAAGAUGCUGUGAAGAAAGCUGCUGCUGCUGCUGCAGAAGCUGCCGCUGCUGCCGCUGGCAGCAGCAGUCAAAAUAACCGAUCUCCUGAUUGCAGCUCGGAUGAGG
Molecule: long non-coding RNA, 185 nt
Organism: Frankliniella occidentalis (western flower thrips)
Lineage: Eukaryota; Metazoa; Arthropoda; Insecta; Thysanoptera; Thripidae
Exons: 3
Source: RefSeq, a predicted model, not a curated record